CCUAGUUAGUUCUUUUUCGUUUGUCAAAUAGAAGGUAUUUCUGUUACCUCCGCCUCCCCUUUUGUGCACUGGAUCUUUACAGACGUGGCAACUGACUGAACCACUUCCCAGUUAUACAGUAUUCAUGCUGUAAGUCUUUUGUGACAAACACAACACCAAAGGAUUCAGCAAUUCAAAUUAAAAGUAGUGUAAAAAGAGAGUCAGAAUAUGUAUCACCAAGAUUUCUUCAGAUUUUGCUAAAUGGUAUAGCAGCUGGCUAUAGAGCCACUCAGCUCAGCCCUAUUGGAGCACACUGUAAUCUUCAGAGGCAGCGGCCUUUCCCUGCUCACCCUCUCCAUGUAUUCAUCAUCAUCAUUUUAGUUUAUUACAGGAAAACCAGACAACUGGCAACCCUAUUACCAUGCCAUGAGCACAACUGAUUGCUUGGGCGUUGAUGCAAUCAGAAGCAUAUUAAAUCUCACACUCUCUGCUCCUCUGAGUGAAAAAACCCUGCAGCUCAGCCUCACAUCCCUCACAGAUACACAGCAAAGAGUAUUUAUAGCUCUAAAAAAAAUCUGAAUCAAGCUUUCAGACUCAUUUCAAAUUCACAAAAACAAGGACAUUGAGAGAGAGAACUCAACCCAUCCUCCUGUCAUUACAUAUUUCAGGGGUCACCACACUUUUGUAGAUUCAGAUGCUGUGACUUCUGUUUUUAGUUAUACUUCUGUACUGCCAAAAUGAAAUGAGUCCAACAGUUGUGUCAGUUCUAUCUGCCCUCAGCUCAAUUUUUUUAAAACAACCCUCGAAUAUUUUAAGGGUUUUUUUUGGUGUGUGUAAUCCUUAGAGAAAGCUGACGUGUCAUUCAAGUCUCCAUAUUUAAACCUGGUGAUUUGUUUUCUGACUGAAUAAACUGGAACUAGCUCUGCUUCAGUUUUUGCAAAUAAGCAUGUGCACACAUGAGGGAAUGGUCUUCUUAACAUUUUCCUGUUCCUGAGAAAGACAGGAGAAGACAAUGAAGGCACAGUAGAACUUGAUAGCAUCUGACUACCAUGAACAUGGAAUUUAUUCCAGAAUUUGAAGGGUAGUGGCAAAAUAAUAAGGGAACCUCAAGUAUAUAUUGUAAAACUCUGGGAAUAGAAAUGUGACUUGCAAAACCAUCUGACUAGUGUGCUUAUCCAUCAUUGUUGGAUAUAGUGAUGGAUACUGGAACAAUGUAUGUAUCGAAUUCAAACACUCUUCCCCAACUUCUGCUCAAAUGGAGAGUGACAGUGAAAAUGAACACCAUCUCAAAUAUUUAAAUCUCCAGUGCAUCCUGCAUACAAAGAUCAAUAUCCAUGUUUUAUUGUAUAGCAAUAGCUCUGUGUCCCCUAGCAACCUGUCAAAACCUUUAGCUUUCCUCUUGACAGCCUUUGUAGUUCAGGUACUUGUUGUCAAUAGAAAAAUCUGCAGCAUGUUGAAAAGUUAAAAUUCAUAGGAACAAUCAAUUGAAUAUAAAAAUAGACCACGUAAGGGAUAUGGUGCUGAUUAGAUGGGAUGGAAAAGGGCAAUAGAGGGGGAGAGGAUAUGGAGUUGUUCCCUACUAUGUAAAUCUGGGAUCCACACCCCUAGGAUAUGGGAUCUUGACUAUAAUUGGAAAUAGUAAAUGAAUGUGGUAAUGGUAUGAAUGUGGUAUGUUAGCAUCAAGGUGUUUGUUGUUCCACAAAUCACCUACAGUGUGUAUAUUGCCACCUACCUUUCAGAACUGUUUUCUAAAACCUCUCUAUAAUAAGUACAUUCUUUUGGAGGAAUAAGCCACAACGAAAUAGUCUUUAUUGGGUUUCUUCUUCAGUUAGAUCAAAAGGAAAAGAAAAUGUUCAACUAUGCACUGAUUGGUGCUGGGCUUUUGAAAUGUGACAAAAUGUCCUCAGUGUAAACUGCGCAAAUCUGUUAGCGCAGGACCACACUCCCCUAAUUCAAAGUAAUUCUGACCAAAUCUGCUCUGUUGUUGUUGUUUUUAAUCUUUUAUCUGGCCAAAAGGGAGACAAAAUGCAAUUGAGAUUCUAUGGUCCAGAUUUUCCACGUGGCUGAGAGUGGGAUUGACACAGGUGGCUUUAAACCACCUUUUACGUUCCCUCUCACCCUCCAAUGGCUACUGAAUGCUGGCCCAGGCCCAGGAUGCUCUAUUUUAAAUCAGCUGCCAACAUUCCCCAUGGGCAAUUCACAGUAGCCAGGGGUCAGCUUCGUGUUGGGAUGCCCCAGCCAUACUUCUGCUCAAGACGGAGAAGAGGGUGGUGUAGGAGCUGCUGUAAAGUAGAACAAAGUGGAGAAUGUGGCACCAAGUGACUCAAAGCCAUU
Mauremys mutica (yellowpond turtle) is the source of this 2313-nucleotide long non-coding RNA. RefSeq lists it as uncharacterized. The record is from RefSeq and is a predicted model, not a curated record. Lineage: Eukaryota; Metazoa; Chordata; Testudines; Geoemydidae. The transcript has 5 exons.